UGCUGACAUAACGUGGAACGCUUGAAUUUUAAGCAAUUUUAUUGUGCUGAGAAGGUUUUCUUUUGUUUUAAUCACAAAAACAGCUACACAAUUUGAGGCUGGGUCAGUCUCAUAUUUUGGAGAGAUCUUAACCUAUUGCUUUCAUGUAGAAGCACAGCACAAUUGUCAGACUACUGUUUCCACUCCUGUGAGAACAGCAGAUGCCAGUGCUGAGGAUCAGAGCAUAAAUGGGCUGAUUUCCUUUCCAGGGGACAGCUCCUGACCGAGUGCCACUUCCCUGCCUUGCUGCAGACCCUUGUGCUGCUGGGGUGGGUCUGCAGAGGGGUUUGGAGCCUUUUCCCCUCAGAGCUGGGGUCGAGGAGCGACCCUGGGGAGACCGAGGGGCUCACCCCAGCCUGCAGCAUCCUCCUGGGGGAACAGGCACCGAUCUCUGCCCGCCCUGAGCCGCGACAGAGCGAGGGCAGGGUAUGGAUUGUGCCAGGGGAGCUUGGGUGGGCAUCAGGCUCUUCUCCAGAGGGUGCUGGCACUGCCCAGGCUCCCCGGGGCAUGGCACGGCCUGAGGCUGCCGGAGCUCCAGGGAUGCCCAGGGAGGGUUUUGUGCUGUGUUUUGCUGGCAUUUUGCUGGCAUUUUGCUGUGUUGUGCUAGCAUUUCGCUGUGUUCUGCUGUGUUCUGCUGGCGUUCCGCUGUGUUCUGCUAGCAUUUUGCUGUGUUCUGCUGCCGUUCUGCUGUGUUUUGCUGUGUUCUGCUGGCAUUUUGCUGUGUUCUGCUGGCGUUCUGUGUUUUGCUGUGUUCUGCUGGCGUUUUGCAGUGUUCUGCUGGCAUUUUGCUGUGUUCUGCUGGCGUUUUGCAGUGUUCUGCUGCCGUUCGGUUUGUUCUGCUGCGUUCUGCUGCCGUUUCUCAGUGUUUCGCCGGUGCUCCGUGCACGGCCGGGGCUGUACUGUGUCCCUGCCAGCCCAGGCCGUUCUGCGAGCGCCGCGCUGCAGCGGCCGCCCUUCUCGGGGCCUGUCCCCGCCGUCACCCAGACUAAAUUUAGGAGAAGCCACGUUCCCCGCCAGCGUGCGCCGGGCCAGGCACGACCGGGCCGGGGCCGCCCCCGCGCCACGAUCUCGGCCUUUGCGGCGCUGAGUCACGGCGGC
RNAcentral lists this long non-coding RNA (1137 nucleotides) under Chloebia gouldiae (Gouldian finch). Its description in RNAcentral is "Erythrura gouldiae (Gouldian finch) lncRNA (ENSEGOG00005012759.1)". Lineage: Eukaryota; Metazoa; Chordata; Aves; Passeriformes; Passeridae. The record is from RNAcentral.